GGGGAUUUAGCUUAGCGGCAUAAGCGCCUGCCUUGCAAGCAGACAGUCGUGGGUUCGAUCCCCAGUAUCGAUA
This is a transfer RNA of Cavia porcellus (domestic guinea pig), 73 nucleotides long. It matches the Rfam family "tRNA". From Rfam's summary of the family: Transfer RNA (tRNA) molecules are approximately 80 nucleotides in length. Their secondary structure includes four short double-helical elements and three loops (D, anti-codon, and T loops). NCBI's taxonomy places the organism in Eukaryota, Metazoa, Chordata, Mammalia, Rodentia, Caviidae. The record is from Rfam.